UACGUAGGUGGCAAGCGUUGUCCGGAUUUACUGGGCGUAAAGAGCGCGCAGGCGGUCGUGCAAGUCGCGUGUGAAAGCCCCCGGCUCAACUGGGGAGGGUCACGCGAUACUGCUCGACUUGAGUGCCGGAGAGGAAAGCGGAAUUCCUGGUGUAGAGGUGAAAUUCGUAGAUAUCAGGAGGAACACCAGUGGCGAAGGCGGCUUUCUGGACGGUAACUGACGCUGAGACGCGAAAGCGUGGGGAGCAAACAGG
RNAcentral lists this ribosomal RNA (253 nucleotides) under uncultured bacterium. Its description in RNAcentral is "partial 16S ribosomal RNA". It matches the Rfam family "Bacterial small subunit ribosomal RNA", at positions 524 to 776 of the family's 1533-position model. The record is from RNAcentral.